Molecule: ribosomal RNA, 492 nt
Filed under: uncultured bacterium
Lineage: Bacteria
Description: partial 16S ribosomal RNA
Rfam family: Bacterial small subunit ribosomal RNA
Source: RNAcentral
AGUGAACGCUGGCGGUAGGCCUAACACAUGCAAGUCGAACGGCAGCACAGUAAGAGCUUGCUCUUACGGGUGGCGAGUGGCGGACGGGUGAGGAAUACAUCGGAAUCUACUUUUUCGUGGGGGAUAACGUAGGGAAACUUGCGCUAAUACCGCAUACGACCUACGGGUGAAAGCAGGGGAUCUUCGGACCUUGCGCGAUUGAAUGAGCCGAUGUCGGAUUAGCUAGUUGGCGGGGUAAAGGCCCACCAAGGCGACGAUCCGUAGCUGGUCUGAGAGGAGGAUCAGCGACACUGGAGCUGAGACACGGUCCAGACUCCUACGGGAGGCAGCAGUGGGGAAUAUUGGGCAAUGGUCGCAAGCCUGAUCCAGCCAUACCGCGUGGGUGAAGAAGGCCUUCGGGUUGUAAAGCCCUUUUGUUGGGAAAGAAAAGCAGCAGGUUAAUACCCCGCUGUUCUGACGGUACCCAAAGAAUAAGCACCGGCUAACUUCGUG